CUUACGCGUUUAACCUACUAGAGUGCGCAAUUCUCACGCGCUUCCGAGCUGUCAUCAUCCCAUCAAGUCAGGCACAGCUUCUCCAAACGCGCGCGUUAUACUCCCAAACCCUGGGGAUUGUCCUCCUUCUUCACGGUUGUUUAAGUCUCAAUCUGCUGUUUCCGCACAACUUGCCUUUUUUGUGUCGGAGAGCCCGAAGACACCGUGGAUCUGCGCUCGCUUCAGCAUGCGUUUGGCGCGCGGAGCGCACUCUUGGCGAGCUCUUCAUCAUCAUCAUCAUCAUCAGGCGCAGGGAUGAUGUUCAACUCAUCGCGCUCGCUGGAUUUCUUCUCGUUCUCUCGCCCUGAGCUCGCGUCGGAAGUUCUCAAUGGUUCCUCACACUCCUUCUACAACAUCUCAGUGGCCAUGUGGAACACAUCCUGCGGGGAGCAGCUGCUCGAUUUCACCGCGUCGGAGAAGAUCGUCAUCGGAAUGAUGCUGGCCAUCAUCACCACCGUGACGGUGAUUGGGAAUAUGCUGGUGGUGAUCGCGGUGUGCGUCGUGAAGAAGCUCCGACAGCCGUCCAACUAUCUGCUGGUGUCUCUGGCCGUGGCGGAUCUCUCCGUGGCUAUCGUGGUGAUGCCGUUCGUGAUCGUGACGGACCUCACGGGAGGAAAGUGGCUUUUUGGAGAGGUCUUUUGUAACAUCUUCAUCGGCAUGGAUGUGAUGUGCUGCACUGCAUCCAUCAUGACUCUGUGCGUGAUCAGUGUGGACAGGUAUCUUGGCAUCACCCGCCCUUUGACUUACCCUGCUCGACAAAACGGCCAGCUGAUGGCAAAGAUGAUCUUUGGUGUGUGGCUCGUGUCGGCCUCGAUCACCCUGCCGCCGUUCUGUGGCUGGGCCAAGAACAUUAACACAGCUGGCGUUUGUCUAAUCAGUCAGGACUUCGGCUACACCAUCUACUCCACCGCCGUGGCCUUCUACAUCCCCAUGAUUGUCAUGCUCUGCAUGUACUACAAGAUCUUCAAGGCCGCCAGGAAAAAGCUGCGCCAAGCAUCGUUUCACCAACUUCUCCCGUCGGGAUCGUCUGGAAACCGUCGCCAGCGAUGCUCUCAGGAUGCAAGGCCUAAAACCCCAACACACGCCUGGCGUGGCCGAGGAGUGCGCUGCUCUUUCACGCUUUCUCAGCCGCGAGCGACACAAUAUCUCCAUCUUUAAGCGAGAGCAGAAAGCAGCUACGACAUUGGGUGUGAUAGUUGGAGUUUUUGGUACUUGUUGGCUGCCAUUUUUUAUUCUCUCUACAGCGAGACCAUUUAUAUGCGGGGUCAAGUGUAGUUGCAUACCUAUUUGGCUGGAGAGGACGCUGCUGUGGUUUGGAUAUGCCAACUCGCUUAUGAACCCCUUCAUUUAUGCUUUCUUCAACCGGGACCUGCGCUCCACAUACAGAGACCUGCUCCGCUGCAGGUACAGGAACAUAAACCGCAGACUGUCGGCUGUAGGUGUGCAUGAAGCACUGAAGGUAUAAAAUAAUGUGGUUGUCCUGGAUUUGGUUUACACACAGUUCAGACAGCACUGAAUCACGGUUAAUCAAGUAAGAAGCCGAACAAUGCAUCCACUUAUGGGAUUUUUGCCUCAUACUUCAUCAGAACACUCAUAUUUGGUCAAAUUCAGCACUGAUUGUUGAGACAUGUGUGUAAAACUUACAUGAAUUCAUUUAAAACAAACAUCUAAACCCAUUAAAAUACUAAACAAUAUAUUGAUAUAUUUGAUGUUUUCCUUUAAGUGUUAUAUACAUAACAUUACUGUUAAAAAG
This is an RNA transcript of Carassius auratus (goldfish), 1792 nucleotides long. It is a transcript of the gene named 5-hydroxytryptamine receptor 7-like, with no coding region annotated. NCBI's taxonomy places the organism in Eukaryota, Metazoa, Chordata, Actinopteri, Cypriniformes, Cyprinidae. The record is from RefSeq and is a predicted model, not a curated record. The transcript is spliced from 2 exons.